This 409-nucleotide ribosomal RNA is filed under the name Verrucomicrobiota bacterium. RNAcentral's name for it is "Verrucomicrobia bacterium partial 16S ribosomal RNA". It matches the Rfam family "Bacterial small subunit ribosomal RNA", at positions 355 to 776 of the family's 1533-position model. Lineage: Bacteria; Pseudomonadati; Verrucomicrobiota. The record is from RNAcentral.
UGGGGAAUAUUGCACAAUGGGCGGAAGCCUGAUGCAGCGACGCCGCGUGAGGGAUGACGGCCUUCGGGUUGUAAACCUCUUUCAGUAGGGACGAAGCGUAAGUGACGGUACCUGCAGAAGAAGCACCGGCUAACUACGUGCCAGCAGCCGCGGUAAUACGUAGGGUGCGAGCGUUGUCCGGAAUUACUGGGCGUAAAGAGCUCGUAGGCGGUUUGUCACGUCGUCUGUGAAAGACCGGGGCUUAACUCCGGGGCUGCAGUGGGUACGGGCAGGCUGGAGUGCGGUAGGGGUAACCGGAAUUCCUGGUGUAGCGGUGGAAUGCGCAGAUAUCAGGAGGAACACCGAUGGCGAAGGCAGGUUACUGGGCCGUUACUGACGCUGAGGAGCGAAAGCAUGGGGAGCGAACAGG